Molecule: long non-coding RNA, 291 nt
Filed under: Lathyrus oleraceus (garden pea)
Lineage: Eukaryota; Viridiplantae; Streptophyta; Magnoliopsida; Fabales; Fabaceae
Description: Pisum sativum (pea) long non-coding RNA (PSAT_LNC032488)
Source: RNAcentral
AAAUAGGGUUGGGAUCCUACUGACCGGGCAUAAACUUCAUAUGCUGGGCAAUACUUGCAUAGGCUGUAUGAAGUUUAUGCCCGGUCUCCAUAGAGUGCGCGCGCCACCGAGUUGAGCACGGUUAGUGUCCGUCGCCGCUACGCCCUUUCACUUGACCUGCGGUGGAAGGGUGGAUUUGAUAUGACGUCGAAUUCACUCUUUCUGUCUGCGUUUCAGGUGCUACCGGGCGCUUACGACCGAGGAAGGAAGAUUCUGGGUCCUCCACCGAAGACGCGACAAUCGCUCGUCUCC